RNAcentral lists this unclassified non-coding RNA (294 nucleotides) under Hevea brasiliensis (rubber tree). Lineage: Eukaryota; Viridiplantae; Streptophyta; Magnoliopsida; Malpighiales; Euphorbiaceae. The record is from RNAcentral.
CUUUAGAAAAGUUCACUCCUUUGUCAGAUUGUGGGGUUCUGUCUCCUUUUUGGCUUUAACUUCUAUCUGAUAGUCAUACAGUUAAACUUUUCUAUUCAAGAAAACUUGGAUCCAUGCAUUUCUCUUGGGUGGUUCCUAAUAUUUUUACAGUGAUUGCUAAAGCUUUUUUCCCAUUGUAGUAUAUAUUCUGGCACUUAAAUAUUCUGAAUUGACUGUUUAAAUUUGAAGAUGUAUUUCUAUUUCUUAAAUUCUGAAUUGACUGUUUAAAUUUGAAGAUGUAUUUCUAUUUCUUAA